RNAcentral lists this long non-coding RNA (520 nucleotides) under Gallus gallus (chicken). RNAcentral's name for it is "lncRNA (ENSGALG00010019758.1)". Lineage: Eukaryota; Metazoa; Chordata; Aves; Galliformes; Phasianidae. The record is from RNAcentral.
GAAAGACGUGUCUAGGGUACCACAGAUAUCAGUGUGUUGUGUUUACUACUGUGCCCAUGCUUCCAUCUUGAUGACAAGGAGGACGACUCCUUCAUCAUUCCCACUACAGAAUACACAAUGGUUCACAUCUUGAAACUGUUUCAGUGUUAUUAACCUGGAUUCCAUUUGGAUGAAAUGAAGCCAGAAGAGACGUCAAUGAGAAAAAAAGAACCUAAAAGAAACCUACUUAAUGUUUUAUGACAGAAAUCUAGAAUCAAAUUGAAUUAAGGAAAUCUUGAAGAGAAGACUUCACAUAUUUCCCGACUAAUCUCUGAUGAGACAGCUUUCUUCCAUUCUUAAAGGAGGAAGAAAGGGAGAAUCAGCAAGUAAAACAAAACAAGAAAAUGAUAUUCAUUCCACAUAACAUAUUUAAUUUGAUCGACAAUCUUUAGCCUGUCAUUGACCAAGAACACCCAAGUAAUGUUUGUUGGAAAAUCUACUCUAAGCUGCUGAACAGUUAAUUUGCCAGUUUUAGUUUUAU